This 1030-nucleotide long non-coding RNA is filed under the name Panax ginseng (ginseng). RNAcentral describes it as "long non-coding RNA (PGIN_LNC009157)". The record is from RNAcentral. Lineage: Eukaryota; Viridiplantae; Streptophyta; Magnoliopsida; Apiales; Araliaceae.
AUACUGCACCAGGUGAAGGAGCAAAAUGUUGGAUAUUUGGAGCACCCACUACCACGGGAAUAGUUCCUACAAAAAUUGUAAUGAGUAUGUAAACCGCUUCCAUAGUAGCAAAUUGCAGGAUCGUUUUUGGCUUUUUGCUAAAUCCUCAAAUAGUACUAAAUAGUUAAAAUAUAAUAGCUGUCCUUGUGCUUUUAGCAUUCACCAAUAUGAAGAAAAUGAGCUAAUUAGAUUGUCAAUUAUUUGAAUAUACAUAUAUUUGACUGUGAAACAAACUACUAUGGAUUGGAAUAGAACAGAGGAGAUUAGGCUUGGUUGUGUGGAGUAAUAAAGGAGCUAAACUGUUAUUUUAGAGCAAAUCAAUAGUUAUGAAAAGGGUGUUUUAAAAUUGUGCACAUAAGGUGCUUGUUAAAAUGCUCCAAUUAACUGUUUUGACUAAAAACCAAAAAUUUGAUGGAACUAAAACUUGGGUUAUGUAUAUACACCAUGUAUGUGGAUAAGUAAAGUGUUGUAACAUAUUAAAUGGAACAAAGGGUAAUUUUAAAGCUAAAACUAAAAAUGGGAUUUUUGGUAUGUUAAGCUAUUUUGGCAAACUGUUUUGGGCAGUUUAAUGAAUUUAAUUGGAGGUCUAAUGUUUUUUUUAGUUGGCUGUUUUGGUAUGUUAAGCUAUUUUUGGUAUGGGUAAUUUUAAAGCUAAAACUAAAUUAUUUGGGUGAGUAUAAUAUGCGAGUAUAUUAACUGCCUUACCAUGUGUGUGUGUAACAAAGAUUUCUGACUAGCUUGCAAUGUAGCCAAAAUGCUGCUUAUAUUUGAUUCUAGUUCUACUCUUUUGCUUUUUGAAAGUAAUUUAUGGAAGCAUGAUAUUCAGUGAACUAAUAAUGGUGAAAAGCCUAUGCUGGAUUCAACCGAGAGGCAAAGAGCAUAUCAGCAAGAUUUAACAAGCCCCACAAUCUGAAUAGGGCCACUGUCACAAUGGAGUUUACAGCAACAUAAUGACAUUAAGAAGAAACUCCAACUCUAGUGCCAAGAAAAG